RNAcentral lists this ribosomal RNA (2265 nucleotides) under Triticum aestivum (bread wheat). RNAcentral's name for it is "partial small subunit ribosomal RNA". The record is from RNAcentral. Lineage: Eukaryota; Viridiplantae; Streptophyta; Magnoliopsida; Poales; Poaceae.
AUGGAAGCCUUCGCCGCCGCCCCCGCGGCCGGCGUCUUCGCGGCCGCGCGGCCCUCCGUCGCGCUCCGCCGCCGCGGCGGCAGCAGAGGGGCCUCCUCCUCUUACUCGCGCACCGGCGCCGGACGGGUGCGCCUCGUCCGCGCGCCGCCGCCGCCGCGCGCCGGGGGCGGGGACGGCGGGGGCGACCUGCCGGCUCUAGACAAGUGGGACAUGAUGGAGCUCGAGUUCGGGCGGUUCCUCGGGGAGGACCCCAAGCUCACCCUCGCCAAGAUACUGCUCAAGAAGUCAGACCCGGAUGCUUCAUCCCUCGAUGUAGAGAAACUAGUUGCCAGCAAAAAGGACACGCUGGAUGUUAUUUUGAAGGAGUUCAUGGAGGCUAAUAAGACGGACAAGACUGCCACCACAGGAGAGGCAAUAAGCGCACCAAUGAAAGAAAAACAACCUUUGGGUGUUUCAAGGCCUGCAGUGAGCAAACCAAAGCUGGAUGAGGCUUCUUUGGCUAUGAUACGGCCAGCAGGAAGCAAACCAAAGCAAGCUGAGCCUCCUUUGACUUUCAUGAGACCAGCAGUGAGCAAACCAAAGGUAAAUAAGCCUUCUUUGACCUUGAUGCGGCCAAUGGGGAGCAAACCAAAAGUACAAGCUAAGCUGGUGCAAGAUAGUUGGCCUAGCAAGGAGAGUUUAGCUGCAGGGACCGAGUUAAGUGAGGUUGGAAGUACCACAACAGAGGAUAUUGUGGACGUCACCUUGCGUAAACCCGUUGUGCAUCAGAGUGAAGAUGAUGAACAGGAGCCGGAGCUGAAGAUGAAACCAAAUGUCGACAUGAAAAUGAGGAAGGAUAUGGAUGAGGAUUUAUCCAACAUUUCUCUUCUCCAAAAGCCAGAGGCCGCAAAAGAGACUGCUAAUGCACUUGGCUCGACCUUAGUUGCUGCUGGAGAGGAUACCAAUGAACGCGAGGAAGGACUGCAACCAUCUGAGGAAAGUUUAACUCAACAAAUAGACUCGCCUGCUCUGGAUAAACCAUCAGUGACCGACAACAAUUUUUCUAUGCAAGCUUUCUUGCAAGGAAGACCGAGGAAAGACCUGCCUGUUGAAACUUCACCAUCUCAAGUGGAUGCUGAGAAGAGAAGUGAUAGUGAUGAUAAAAAAAGUUAUGUUGACGAUGGGGGCAAUGUCUUAUCAUCAACAUUAGAGGACAUUACUGAGAGUGACUGGACAAGGCUAGAGCAUUAUGCAAGUACUGGAGAAAGGGUUGAGGUAGAACUUAUUAACUGCAGUGCAAAGGGAUUUGUGGUGUCACUCGACUCAAUGAUAGGUUUCUUACCAUAUCGUAAUCUUGCUACCAAAUGGAAAUUCUUAGCUUUUGAGACUUGGUUAAGAAGGAAGGGUGGUGAUCCUUCCUUGUACAAGCAGAGUAUGAGCAUGGAGGAAGGUCCCGAGGUUAGUGAUAGGAGCAUAGAACCAGAAUCAGUUUCAGAAGUAGCUCAUCAGGACCAAGGAACUCUGCAGUCUAGGCUGAAGUUUGAAGAACUUCUUCGAACAUAUGAUGAAGAGAAAUCCAAGUUCUUAUCAUCAUUUAUCGGUCAAAGGCUCCGAGUGUCAGUUGUCCUGGCUGAUAGAAAUUCCAAGCGACUAUUUUUCUCCAUGAGGCCAAAAGAAAGUGACGAGUUGAUUCAGAAAAGGAAAAGCCUGAUGGCUAGGCUUAAUGUUGGAGAUAUCGUCACAUGCACUAUCAAGCGAUUUGUUUACUUUGGGAUAUUUGUUGAGGUUGAAGGAGUUCCUGCACUGAUUCAGCAGUGGGAAGUGUCCUGGGAUGAGACCUUAGAUCCAUCAGUUUCUUACAGAAUUGGUCAGGUUGUUGAUGCUAAAGUUAUUCAACUGGAUUUCAACAAUAGCCGUAUCUUUUUGUCACUUAAAGAUGUAAAGCCAAGUCCGCCAGUAGGAGCUUUGGAAGCAGUCAUUGGCGAUGAAGCGUCACUUGAUGGAUCUCUAGAACCUGCACAAGCAGAUUUUGAGUGGCCUGAGGUGGAUUCCCUUAUUGAGGAGCUGAAAAACAUAGAGCAAGUUAAAGAUGUUUAUAAAGGAAGGUUCUUCCGGAGCCCAGGAUUAGCUCCAACAUUCCAGGUAUAUAUGGCAUCUUUGGUUGGCCAAAAGUAUAAGGUCCUUGCGCGGUAUGGAAACAAUGUGCAAGAGGUGAUGGUGGAGACGUCGUUAGACAAAGAAGGGCUGAAAGAGGCAAUUUUGAUGUGCACAAACAGGGUGAGCUGA